This 468-nucleotide ribosomal RNA is filed under the name uncultured bacterium. Its description in RNAcentral is "partial 16S ribosomal RNA". It matches the Rfam family "Bacterial small subunit ribosomal RNA", at positions 28 to 507 of the family's 1533-position model. The record is from RNAcentral.
GACGAACGCUGGCGGCGUGCUUAACACAUGCAAGUCGAACGGAAAGGCCCUGCUUUUGUGGGGUGCUCGAGUGGCGAACGGGUGAGUAACACGUGAGUAACCUGCCCUUGACUUUGGGAUAACUUCAGGCAACUGGGGCUAAUACCGGAUAGGAGCUCCUGCUGCAUGGUGGGGGUUGGAAAGUUUCGGCGGUUGGGGAUGGACUCGCGGCUUAUCAGCUUGUUGGUGGGGUAGUGGCAUACCAAGGUUUUGCCGGGUAGCCGUGCUGGGAGGGGGAGCGGCCACAUUGGGACUGAGAUACGGCCCAGACUCCUACCGGAGGGAAGGGUGGAGAAUGUUGCACUAUGGGCGGAAGCCUGGUGCGACAAAGCCGCGUGGGGGAAGACGGGCUUCGGGUUGUAAAGCGCUUUCGCCUGUGACGAAGCGUGAGUGACGGUAAUGGGUAAAGAAGCACCGGCUAACUACGUG